UACGUAGGGUGCGAGCGUUAAUCGGAAUUACUGGGCGUAAAGCGUGCGCAGGCGGUUUUGUAAGCCAGAUGUGAAAGCCCCGGGCUUAACCUGGGAAUGGCAUUUGGGACUGCAAGGCUGGAGUGUGGCAGAGGAGACUGGAAUUCCUGGUGUAGCAGUGAAAUGCGUAGAUAUCAGGAGGAACACCGAUGGCGAAGGCAGGUCUCUGGGCUGACACUGACGCUGAGGAGCGAAAGCGUGGGGAGCGAACAGG
This 253-nucleotide ribosomal RNA is filed under the name uncultured bacterium. RNAcentral's name for it is "partial 16S ribosomal RNA". It matches the Rfam family "Bacterial small subunit ribosomal RNA", at positions 524 to 776 of the family's 1533-position model. The record is from RNAcentral.